GACGAACGCUGGCGGCGUGCUUAACACAUGCAAGUCGAACGGAAAGGCCCUGCUUUUGUGGGGUGCUCGAGUGGCGAACGGGUGAGUAACACGUGAGUAACCUGCCCUUGACUUUGGGAUAACUUCAGGAAACUGGGGCUAAUACCGGAUAGGAGCUCCUGCUGCAUGGUGGGGGUUGGAAAGUUUCGGCGGUUGGGGAUGGACUCGCGGCUUAUCAGCUUGUUGGUGGGGUAGUGGCUUACCAAGGCUUUGACGGGUAGCCGGCCUGAGAGGGUGACCGGCCACAUUGGGACUGAGAUACGGCCCAGACUCCUACGGGAGGCAGCAGUGGGGAAUAUGGCACAAUGGGGGGAAGCCUGAUGCAGCAACGCCGCGUGCGGGAUGACGGCCUUCGGGUUGUAAACCGCUUUCGCCUGUGACGAAGCGUGAGUGACGGUAAUGGGUAAAGAAGCACCGGCUAACUACGUG
This 468-nucleotide ribosomal RNA is filed under the name uncultured bacterium. RNAcentral describes it as "partial 16S ribosomal RNA". It matches the Rfam family "Bacterial small subunit ribosomal RNA", at positions 28 to 507 of the family's 1533-position model. The record is from RNAcentral.